RNAcentral lists this unclassified non-coding RNA (225 nucleotides) under Hevea brasiliensis (rubber tree). Lineage: Eukaryota; Viridiplantae; Streptophyta; Magnoliopsida; Malpighiales; Euphorbiaceae. The record is from RNAcentral.
AGUUGUUGGUGAUAAAAAACAAGAUAGGAUAAAAUUUGACGUGCUGUUAACUUCUUAUGAAAUGAUUAACUUGGACACAGCAUCAUUGAAACCAAUAAAGUGGGAGAGCAUGAUUGUUGAUGAAGGUCAUCGUCUCAAAAAUAAGGAUUCAAAAUUAUUUCUUUCACUGAAGCGGUAUUCUAGUAAUCAUCGUGUGCUUUUGACUGGAACUCCUCUUCAGAACAA